Molecule: ribosomal RNA, 465 nt
Filed under: uncultured bacterium
Lineage: Bacteria
Description: partial 16S ribosomal RNA
Rfam family: Bacterial small subunit ribosomal RNA
Source: RNAcentral
CUACGGGUGGCACCAGUGGGGAAUAUUGGACAAUGGGGGAAACCCUGAUCCAGCAAUGCCGCGUGUGUGAAGAGGGCCUGCGGGUUGUAAAGCACUUUCGGUUGGGAGGACUGCUUCUAGCACUAAUAUUGUUGGAAGUUGACGUUACCUUCAGAAGAAGCACCGGCUAACUCCGUGCCAGCAGCCGCGGUAAUACGGAGGGUGCAAGCGUUAAUCGGAAUUACUGGGCGUAAAGCGCGCGUAGGCGGCUAGAUCAGUCGGGUGUGAAAGCCCAGGGCUUAACCUGGGAACUGCAUCCGAUACUGUCUAGCUUGAGUACAGGAGAGGAGAGUGGAAUUCCACAUGUAGCGGUGAAAUGCGUAGAUAUGUGGAGGAACACCAAUGGCGAAGGCAGCUCUCUGGCCUGAUACUGACGCUGAGGUGCGAAAGCGUGGGGGGCAAACAGGAUUAGAUACCCUUGUAGUC